Long non-coding RNA from Drosophila miranda, 529 nucleotides. RefSeq lists it as uncharacterized. The transcript is spliced from 2 exons. NCBI's taxonomy places the organism in Eukaryota, Metazoa, Arthropoda, Insecta, Diptera, Drosophilidae. The record is from RefSeq and is a predicted model, not a curated record.
GUGUGUGAAGCUCCGGACGAGAAGAAGAAGAAAGAAGAAAAGUUGAGUGAAAAUUCCUUUUUUCCCUCCACCAACAAUGUGGGAAGUGGAAGUGGAAGGCGCCAAAACAAGGGUUCACCCCCCCUUCCCCUGCUGCCUGGAGCGCACUGAUUGUGCCCCUGCAACAGAGCGGGAUGCCGCUUUUCUUCCAGGUAACACGCGCAGCGCGGAUGCUAAAAACGGAAAAUCAGGAGCCCGUGAUUCAAAACAACCGCACUUGAAAACGCUCAACUCUCAACCUCGCUUGUGUGUGUUGUGUGUGUGUGUGUGUGUUGAGUGUUUCUAUAGUAGAAGAGAGAGCGCGUACCGCAUUUUCUUUCGUCGGUUUUGAAAAAGGAUUAAAGGCACUUGACAGAGCGGCAAGACUGCAAAUGUGAUUCGCGAUCGACACUCGAUUAUUUUGCAACAAUAUUGUGUGUAUUGAAAGUGCAGUGAAAAGCAGUGCCAUGCGGUGAGGUUCAAAGGAAGUGUCACACUCAAUCAAUAAUAA